RNAcentral lists this ribosomal RNA (580 nucleotides) under uncultured crenarchaeote. Its description in RNAcentral is "bacterial SSU rRNA". It matches the Rfam family "Archaeal small subunit ribosomal RNA", at positions 169 to 735 of the family's 1478-position model. The record is from RNAcentral. Lineage: Archaea; Thermoproteati; Thermoproteota.
UCUGGAAUGACUUUUCUCCUAAAGGACUUAGAUACAUGCUUCUAUUUCGCCUGGGGAUGGGGCCGCGCCCGAUCAGGUUGUUGGUGAGGUAACGGCUCACCAAGCCUAUAACCGGUACGGGCCGUGAGAGCGGUAGCCCGGAGAUGGGUACUGAGACAAGGACCCAGGCCCUACGGGGCGCAGCAGUCGCGAAAACUCCGCAAUGCACGAAAGUGUGACGGGGCUACCCCGAGUGCCAUCCGCUGAGGAUGGCUUUUCUUUGGUAUAACUAGUCAUGGGAAUAAGGAGAGGGCAAGACUGGUGUCAGCCGCCGCGGUAAUACCAGCUCUCCGAGUGGUAGGGAUGAUUAUUGGGCUUAAAGCGUCCGUAGCCGGCUUAGCAAGUUUCCUGUUAAACCCAGCGACUCAAUCGUUGGAUCGCGGGAAAUACUACUAGGCUAGGAGGCGGGAGAGGUCAACGGUACUUCUGGGGUAGGGGUGAAAUCCUAUAAUCCCGGGAGGACCACCAGUGGCGAAGGCUGUUGACUAGAACGCGCUCGACGGUGAGGGACGAAAGCUGGGGGAGCGAACCGGAUUAGAUA